Molecule: ribosomal RNA, 765 nt
Filed under: uncultured Streptococcus sp.
Lineage: Bacteria; Bacillati; Bacillota; Bacilli; Lactobacillales; Streptococcaceae
Description: bacterial SSU rRNA
Rfam family: Bacterial small subunit ribosomal RNA
Source: RNAcentral
GACGAACGCUGGCGGCGUGCCUAAUACAUGCAAGUAGAACGCUGAAGCUUGGUGCUUGCACCGAGCGGAUGAGUUGCGAACGGGUGAGUAACGCGUAGGUAACCUGCCUGGUAGCGGGGGAUAACUAUUGGAAACGAUAGCUAAUACCGCAUAAGAGUAGAUGUUGCAUGACAUUUGCUUAAAAGGUGCAAUUGCAUCACUACCAGAUGGACCUGCGUUGUAUUAGCUAGUUGGUGAGGUAACGGCUCACCAAGGCAACGAUACAUAGCCGACCUGAGAGGGUGAUCGGCCACACUGGGACUGAGACACGGCCCAGACUCCUACGGGAGGCAGCAGUAGGGAAUCUUCGGCAAUGGACGGAAGUCUGACCGAGCAACGCCGCGUGAGUGAAGAAGGUUUUCGGAUCGCAAAGCUCUGUUGUAAGAGAAGAACGAGUGUGAGAGUGGAAAGUUCACACUGUGACGGUAUCUUACCAGAAAGGGACGGCUGACUACGUGCCAGCAGCCGCGGUAAUACGUAGGUCCCGAGCGUUGUCCGGAUUUAUUGGGCGUAAAGCGAGCGCAGGCGGUUAGAUAAGUCUGAAGUUAAAGGCUGUGGCUUAACCAUAGUACGCUUUGGAAACUGUUUAACUCGAGUGCAAGAGGGGAGAGUGGAAUUCCAUGUGUAGCGGUGAAAUGCGUAGAUAUAUGGAGGAACACCGGUGGCGAAAGCGGCUCUCUGGCUUGUAACUGACGCUGAGGCUCGAAAGCGUGGGGAGCAAACAGG